CCAGUUUUACACUUUGGCCAUAUGAUUUUGAAGGGGUUGUCAUAUUUUGCCCUUGUAGUUGUGAUGUUUUCAUUAGGGCAUGAUAUUUUCUGAUGGAUUAACAGCUUAGUCCCUGGUCUCCUCCCUGGUUAAUUACGAGGGAUUCACAGUUUUACACAUUGUUCACGUGUUCUCUUCCUCUGGUAUGAAUUUUGCCCUUUUGGACAGGCUGUGCUCCUCCCAUCGGCUCCCCUCCUCAUCUUCCAAUCAAACACCCCACCUUUCCUUAGAUUACACCUCCCAACCUUUGAAUCAUGUUUUUCCAUUUACUUCCACCACUUCUUUCCUUUGAUUUCAUCUACACAUAUACACAGUGAUCGAUUUCAUUCUGCCAAAACGCUUCACACCUCCAACCUCUGCUGAACGCAAAUGUCACAGCCACAGCUAUCGCCGCCGCUACCUUUACCACCACACGACUACCCUCCUUCGCCGCUGAUCGUCGGUUUUCAUCGGCGUUUUCCACUUCUCUCCUUCUCCGGUGGUUCUUUUGUCGACCAUUAUGUUCUUCGUUACCAGGCCGUUCAAGGGUCCAUUGUCAUCAUCUUUUCCAGUUGAUGCUUCACUACGGUUCACCAAUACAAUGCCUUCAUUCAACAUAAGAAAGUCAAAACCCUAUACCCAUUUCUUCAUCUCCAUCAUGUUUCCAUGAAUCCAUUUGCUGCCACAAUACUCUUCUUAUUUGAAGAUCAUUUGAAACUAAAAGAUAGAUCAUGGGCAUAAUUGGCUUGUGAAUGACUUAUAAUUGAUUGCAUUUAGGGUGAACUUAUGAUUCAUUAGUAGUGGGUGAACUUAUGAUCCAUUAGUAGUUCAUUUUAGUAUUUUUUUUAUCACUUAUAUCACUUAUAUGACUUGAAAAUAGAUGGAAAAAGGAAUCUAGGGUUGUUCUUCCCAAGGAAAGACUGUAUUUGCUCAAAGCUAUUGACCUUCACCUACAAAGAAAGUUCAUAUCUCUCUUUCUGUCUCACUCUCUAUAUUUUCAUGUGUGGUUUCCAUAAACAUUGGUUUGUGAUUUUAAUAAGUGUUAUGAUUUUGAUUUUUUAAUUUUGUCAAUGUAUGUAUGUCUAUUCUUCAUUUUUGAUGAAUUUUGUCAAAUCCAAAUCUUGUUUAUAUUAAUUACAUCUUUCAUUUAGGACAUUGGAUGAAAUAUGAACAUAGAUUACUAUUUGGACU
This is a long non-coding RNA of Lactuca sativa (garden lettuce), 1209 nucleotides long. RefSeq lists it as uncharacterized. The record is from RefSeq and is a predicted model, not a curated record. NCBI's taxonomy places the organism in Eukaryota, Viridiplantae, Streptophyta, Magnoliopsida, Asterales, Asteraceae.